This 1406-nucleotide ribosomal RNA is filed under the name Illex argentinus (Argentinian squid). RNAcentral describes it as "16S ribosomal RNA". The stretch from base 953 to 1406 matches the Rfam family "Bacterial large subunit ribosomal RNA", at positions 2048 to 2722 of the family's 2925-position model. Lineage: Eukaryota; Metazoa; Mollusca; Cephalopoda; Oegopsida; Ommastrephidae. The record is from RNAcentral.
AGGUAUUUCUUUAUUAGUUGAUUGUUAUAUUAAACAAAACGAAUUGGGUUAAUGAAGGUUAAAAUUGUUAUAAUAUUAAUUGUUUAUGUAAAUAUGUAAAUAAAGUUAUUUUGUUAGUAAGAUAUAUAUAAAAAAUUGUUUGUUUAUUUAGUAUUAGUAGUAUAGAAGUAUGUGUUGCGAUUUGGUACUGUAAAGGAGUAUAUAAAUAUAUAAUUUUGGUAUAGUAGAAAUUAAAUUUCGUACCUUUUGUAUAAUGGAUUGAUGAUUUUAUAUGCUUUAUUGUGUAUUCUCGAAGUGUAAGGAUUUACUUGAAGGGGAUAUGUUAACGUUGUAUAGUUAUAUAGUGAUCUUUAAGUGGUAAUGAUAUGUUUAUCGUUUUUCAUGAUAGCUAGUUUAUUAGUGUAAGAUAUUUAAGUAUUGUAAUAUUAUUAUAGUUUUGAGGGCUAAUUUUAAUAUUAGUUUAUUGUAUGGGGGAUAAGCUUCAUAUAUUAUUAUAGAAUAUAUUAAAUAAUUAUUUUGAAUUAUAAUUUAAGUAGAAUUAAUAAUGUUUUUCUUUAAAAGUAGUUUAAAUUGUGAUAUAGUUGUUUAAUUUCAUGUUUAUAAUUAAUAAAUGUUUAUAAAUUUAUAUGUAGAUAAAUAUAAUGUUAAUAUGAGUAUUGGUAAAACAUGUUUAAUAUAUUUAGAGUUAUUGUAAUUGUAAAUAGUUUAUAUUAAAAAGUAGUUAAAUAAGAUAAAGGAAUUCGGCAAAUAUUAAUCUCGCCUGUUUAUCAAAAACAUGUCUCUUUGUUAUAUAUAAAUAAAGAGUUGGGCCUGCUCGGUGAAUAAUUUUUUAACAGCUGCGGUAUUUUAACUGUACUAAGGUAGCAUAAUAAUUUGCCUUAUAAUUUGAGGCUAGAAUGAAUGGUUUGACGAAGGUUAAUCUGUCUCUAUCUUAUUUUUUAGAAUUUAAUUUUUAAAGUGAAAAAGCUUGAAUUUUUUAAAGGGACGAGAAGACCCUAAUGAGCUUAUAAUUUUAUUAUUAUUAUUUAAUAUAUUUAAAUAAUAAUAUAUAAAUUUUAAUUGGGGUGAUUAAGGAAUAAAAGAAUUAUAUAAUAACUUCCUUAGAUUAAAUAUAUAUAUAUAUAAAGUAACCAAUAAUAUAUUGCUUAUAAUAUAGUUACCAUAGGGAUAACAGCGUAAUUUGUUUAGAGAGUUCUUAUUGAAAAACAAGAUUGCGACCUCGAUGUUGGAUUAAAGUAACCUUAAGGUGCAGAAGCUUUAGUAAGGUAAAUCUGUUCGAUUUUUAAUACUUUACAUGAUCUGAGUUCAGACCGGCGUGAGCCAGGUUGGUUUCUAUCUUUUAAAAAUGGAUGUUGCUUCUUUUAGUACGAGAGGACCAAGGAAAGCUAAUAAUUUAUUAUUAUAAU